This 253-nucleotide ribosomal RNA is filed under the name uncultured bacterium. RNAcentral's name for it is "partial 16S ribosomal RNA". It matches the Rfam family "Bacterial small subunit ribosomal RNA", at positions 524 to 776 of the family's 1533-position model. The record is from RNAcentral.
UACGAAGGGGGCAAGCGUUGUCCGGAUUUAUUGGGCGUAAAGAGCGUGUAGGCGGCCAGGUAGGUCUGCUGUGAAAACUCGAGGCUUAACCUCGAGCUGUCGGCGGAAACCAUCUGGCUAGAGUCCGGAAGAGGAGAAUGGAAUUCCCGGUGUAGCGGUGAAAUGCGCAGAUAUCGGGAGGAACACCAGUGGCGAAGGCGGCUACCUGGCCCACUCUUGACGCUGAGGCGCGAAAGCUAGGGGAGCAAACGGG